CAAUAGCGUAUAUUAAAGCUGUUGCGGUUAAAAAGCUCGUAGUUGGAUUUCUGUCAAGGACAACUGGUCCGCCCCUCGGGUGAGCACAUAGUUUGGUCUUGGCAUCUUGUUGGAAACUGUUGCUGCACUUGGUUGUGUGGCGCAGUGUCCAGCACUUUCACUUUGAGGAAAUUGGAGUGUUUCAAGCAGGCACAUGCCUUUGGACACAGUAGCAUGGAAUAAUUAGAUUGGGCUUUUGCUCCAACUUGUCGGUUUCUGGAGCUGAGGUGAGAAUUAAUGGGGAUUGUUGGGGGCAUCCGAAUUUAGCCGUCAGAGGUGAAAUUCUUGGAUCUGCUAAAGACGGACAACUGCGAAGGCGUUUGCCCAGGAUGUUUUCAUUGA
RNAcentral lists this ribosomal RNA (381 nucleotides) under uncultured eukaryote. Its description in RNAcentral is "partial 18S ribosomal RNA". It matches the Rfam family "Eukaryotic small subunit ribosomal RNA", at positions 592 to 976 of the family's 1831-position model. The record is from RNAcentral.